This 74-nucleotide small RNA is filed under the name Muricoccus roseus. RNAcentral describes it as "Roseomonas rosea Makes More Granules Regulator RNA (mmgR)". It matches the Rfam family "Makes More Granules Regulator RNA (mmgR)". Rfam says of the family: SuhB later renamed mmgR (makes more granules regulator) was a putative non-coding RNA found multiple times in the Agrobacterium tumefaciens genome and related alpha-proteobacteria. Other non-coding RNAs uncovered in the same analysis include: speF, ybhL, metA, and serC. The record is from Rfam by way of RNAcentral. Lineage: Bacteria; Pseudomonadati; Pseudomonadota; Alphaproteobacteria; Acetobacterales; Roseomonadaceae.
CGAUGCUGCUUUCUUGGACGUUUCCUCCCUAAACUCGGGCGGCACCCACGGGCGCCGCCCUUUUUUUGCCUGCG